UGGAUCCAGACUUUGAUUCUGGCUCAGGAUGAACGCUAGCGGCAGGCUUAACACAUGCAAGUCGAGGGGCAGCGCGGGAUAGCAGUAUUCUGGCGGCGACCGGCGGAAGGGUGCGUAACGCGUGAGCGACAUGCCCGUUGCCCGGGGACAACCGGUGGAAACGCCGACUAAUCCCCGAUGGGAUACGAUGCUUCAUGGCAUUGUAUUGAAAGUUACGGCGGCGACGGAUUGGCUCGCGUCCGAUUAGCUGGUUGGCGGGGUGACGGCCCACCAAGGCUACGAUCGGUAGGGGUUCUGAGAGGAAGGCCCCCCACAAUGGGACUGAGACACGGCCCAUACUCCUACGGGAGGCAGCAGUGAGGGAUAUUGGUCAAUGGGCGGAAGCCUGAAUCAGCCAUGCCGCGUGCGGGAAGGAGGCCCUAUGGGCUGUGAACCGCUUUUGCCUGGGGGCAAUAAGGGCGUCGCGCACGUCCGAUGAGAGUACCAGGCGAAUAAGCAUCGGCUAACUCCGUGCCAGCAGCCGCGGUAAUACGGGGGAUGCGAGCGUUAUCCGGAUUCAUUGGGUUUAAAGGGUGCGUAGGCUGUGCGUCAAGUCGGGGGUGAAAUUCCGGUGCUCAACACCGGGGCUGCCCUUGAUACUGUCGCGCUGGAGUGCGGAUGCCGCCGGAGGAAUGAGUGGUGUAGCGGUGAAAUGCUUAGAUAUCACUCAGAACACCGAUUGCGAAGGCAUCUGGCGAAUCCGUAACUGACGCUGAGGCACGAAAGCGUGGGGAUAGAACAGGAUUAGAUACCCUGGUAUUCCACGCCGUAAACGAUGAUGGCUAACCGCCGGCGACACACUGUCGGUGGCCAAGCGAAAGCGAUAAGCCAUCCACCUGGGGAGUACGUCGGCAACGAUGCAACUCAAAUGAAUUGACGGA
RNAcentral lists this ribosomal RNA (920 nucleotides) under uncultured organism. Its description in RNAcentral is "bacterial SSU rRNA". It matches the Rfam family "Bacterial small subunit ribosomal RNA", at positions 1 to 917 of the family's 1533-position model. The record is from RNAcentral.